This 868-nucleotide ribosomal RNA is filed under the name uncultured archaeon. Its description in RNAcentral is "bacterial SSU rRNA". It matches the Rfam family "Archaeal small subunit ribosomal RNA", at positions 1 to 878 of the family's 1478-position model. The record is from RNAcentral.
CUCCGGUUGAUCCUGCCGGACCCGACUGCUAUCAGAGUGAGAUUAAGCCAUGCGAGUUAACGUAGCAAUACGUGGCGCACGGCUCAGUAACACGUAGUCAACAUGCCCAGAGGACGUGGAUAACCUCGGGAAACUGAGUCUAAACCGCGAUAAGUGAGGAUUUCUGGAAUGGUUCCUGACUAAAAUCUAUAUGGCCUCUGGAUUGGACUGCGGCCGAUCAGGCUGUUGGUGAGGUAAUGGCCCACCAAACCUGUAACCGGUACGGGCUCUGAGAGGAGGAGCCCGGAGAUGGGCACUGAGACAAGGGCCCAGGCCCUAUGGGGCGCAGCAGGCGCGAAACCUCUGCAAUAGGCGAAAGCUUGACAGGGUUACUCUGAGUGAUGCCCGCUAAGGGCAUCUUUUGGCACCUCUAAAAAUGGUGCAGAAUAAGGGGUGGGCAAGUCUGGUGUCAGCCGCCGCGGUAAUACCAGCACCCCGAGUGGUCGGGACGAUUAUUGGGCCUAAAGCAUCCGUAGCUUGUUCUGCAAGUCCUCCGUUAAAUCCACCUGCUCAACAGAUGGGCCGCGGAGGAUACUACAGGGCUAGGAGGCGGGAGAGGCAAGCGGUACUCAGUGGGUAGGGGUAAAAUCCUCUGAUCCACUGAAGACCACCAGUGGCGAAGGCGGCUUGCCAGAACGCGCUCGACGGUGAGGGAUGAAAGCUGGGGGAGCAAACCGGAUUAGAUACCCGGGUAGUCCCAGCCGUAAACGAUGCAGACUCGGUGAUGGGUUGGCUUCGCGCUAACCCAGUGCCGCAGGGAAGCCGUUAAGUCUGCCGCCUGGGUAGUACGGUCGCAAGACUGAAACUUAAAGGAAUUGGCGGGGGAGCA